GAGACAGAGAGACAGAAUGGUGAAGAAACAGAUAGACGGGUCCAUCAAUCAUUCGAUUCAUUCAUUAUUUACACACACACACACGCACACUCCACCCCUUACUCUCUCUUUCUGUCUUUCUCCACUCCUUACUCUCUCUUUCUCCACUCCUUACUCUCUCUUUCUCCACUCCUUACUCUCUCUUUCUCUACUCCUUACUCUCUCUUUCUCCACUCCUUACUCUCUCUUUCUCCACUCCUUACUCUCUCUUUCUCCACUCCUUACUCUCUUUCUCCUCUCCUUACUCUCUCUUUCUCCACUCCUUACUCUCUCUUUCUCCACUCCUUACUCUCUCUUUCUCCACUCCUUACUCUCUCUUUCUCCUCUCCUUACUCUCUCUUUCUCCACUCCUUACUCUCUCUUUCUCCACUCCUUACUCUCUCUCUUUCUCCACUCCUAACUCUCUCUUUCUCCACUCCUUACUCUCUCUCAUUCUCCACUCCUUACUCUCUCUUUCUCCACUCCUUACUCUCUCUUUCUCCACUCCUUACUCUCUCUUUCUGUCUUUCUACACUCCUUACUCUCUCUUUCUGUCUUUCUCCACUCCUUACUCUCUCUUUCUCCACUCCUUACUCUCUCUUUCUCCACUCCUUACUCUCUCUUUCUCUCUUUCUCCACUCCUUACUCUCUCUUUCUGUCUUUCUCCACUCCUUACUCUCUCUUUCUCCACCCCUUACUCUCUCUUUCUCCACCCCUUACUCUCUCUUUCUCUCUUUCUCCACUCCUUACUCUCUCUUUUUGUCUUUCUCCACUCCUUACUCUCUCUUUCUGUCUUUCUAUACUCCUUACUCUCUCUUUCUCCACUCCUUACUCUCUCUUUCUGUCUUUCUCCACUCCUUACUCUCUCUUUCUCCACUCCUUACUCUCUCUUUCUGUCUUUCUCCACUCCUUACUCUCUCUUUCUCCACUCCUUACUCUCUCUUUCUGUCUUUCUCCACUCCUUACUCUCUCUUUCUCCACUUUGUGAACAGAGCUCCGGGAUCAGCUUGCUUAGGGGGCUCUUCUCCAUGUUUAUUUCUCAAUAGGUGA
This 1068-nucleotide long non-coding RNA is filed under the name Oncorhynchus mykiss (rainbow trout). RNAcentral's name for it is "lncRNA (ENSOMYG00000048849.1)". Lineage: Eukaryota; Metazoa; Chordata; Actinopteri; Salmoniformes; Salmonidae. The record is from RNAcentral.